This 498-nucleotide ribosomal RNA is filed under the name uncultured bacterium. RNAcentral describes it as "partial 16S ribosomal RNA". It matches the Rfam family "Bacterial small subunit ribosomal RNA", at positions 28 to 507 of the family's 1533-position model. The record is from RNAcentral.
GACGAACGCUGGCGGCGUGCCUAAUACAUGCAAGUCGAACGAGAGCGACCGGUGCUUGCACUGGUCAAUCUAGUGGCGAACGGGUGAGUAACACGUGGGUAACCUGCCCAUCAGAGGGGGAUAACAUUCGGAAACGGAUGCUAAAACCGCAUAGGUCUUCGAACCGCGUGGUGUGAAGAGGAAAAGAGGCGCAAGCUUCUGCUGAUGGGUGGACCCGCGGUGCAUUAGCUAGUUGGUGAGGUAACGGCUCACCAAGGCCGUGAUGCAUAGCCGACCUGAGAGGGUGAUCGGCCACAUUGGGACUGAGACACGGCCCAAACUCCUACGGGAGGCAGCAGUAGGGAAUCUGCCGCAAUGGACGCAAGUCUGACGGAGCAACGCCGCGUGAGUGAAGAAGGUUUUCGGAGCGUAAAACUCUGUUGUUAGAGAAGAACAAGUGCUAGAGUAACUGUUAGCGCAUUGACGGUAUCUAACCAGAAAGCCACGGCUAACUACGUG